GUGAACGCUGGCGGUAGGCCUAACACAUGCAAGUCGAACGGCAGCACAGUAAGAGCUUGCUCUUACGGGUGGCGAGUGGCGGACGGGUGAGGAAUACAUCGGAAUCUACUUUUUCGUGGGGGAUAACGUAGGGAAACUUACGCUAAUACCGCAUACGACCUACGGGUGAAAGCAGGGGAUCUUCGGACCUUGCGCGAUUGAAUGAGCCGAUGUCGGAUUAGCUAGUUGGCGGGGUAGAGGCCCACCAAGGCGACGAUCCGUAGCUGGUCUGAGAGGAUGAUCAGCCACACUGGAACUGAGACACGGUCCAGACUCCUACGGGAGGCAGCAGUGGGGAAUAUUGGACAAUGGGCGCAAGCCUGAUCCAGCCAUACCGCGUGGGUGAAGAAGGCCUUCGGGUUGUAAAGCCCUUUUGUUGGGAAAGAAAAGCAGCAGGUUAAUACCCCGCUGUUCUGACGGUACCCAAAGAAUAAGCACCGGCUAACUUCGUG
RNAcentral lists this ribosomal RNA (491 nucleotides) under uncultured bacterium. RNAcentral's name for it is "partial 16S ribosomal RNA". It matches the Rfam family "Bacterial small subunit ribosomal RNA", at positions 29 to 507 of the family's 1533-position model. The record is from RNAcentral.